AAACAAAAACUAAAACUAAUAAAUAGAACAAUCUGCAUGCCAGAGUAAUGGAGAGACUUUGACAGCCCAGGUUAUCACAGUGCCUGCUGUUGCCACUCAGCUCUCCUAUAUGU
This is a small nucleolar RNA of Rattus norvegicus (Norway rat), 113 nucleotides long. Ensembl annotates it as small nucleolar RNA SNORA44. Lineage: Eukaryota; Metazoa; Chordata; Mammalia; Rodentia; Muridae. The record is from Ensembl.